AAUAAAUAAAUAAAAUAAAAUUCUUUAUGCUUUAGAUGGCAUAAAACAUAUUCCUGAGGAAGAGGAGAAGGUUGGAGUUUAUGAAAUUUAGAAAGAAACAUUAUGCAGGUAAGACCACAAGAUAUGAUGUUCUAUGACGGUAGGCAAAGUGUUACCCUGAAAUCUAAAAACUGAAAAUAUAUAACACUAGUAUUUCUAAAGACUAGGUAUAUUUUCCUGCAGAGUAAGGCACAUUUGGAAUGCUCUAAUUAAUGAGCUAAGCUGUAUUUACUUUUCAAUACAUCUUAAGUAUCUUUAGUUUGCAUUUCUAAUCCAGAAUAGCCUUCUUCUGUAAAGGAGAAAAUUAUGGAACUAAGUGAAAUAGUGUUCAAGGAUGCAAACUUGUUGCUUCAUCCAUCAGAGGAAUAAGGAUCACUUAGUUGAUGUUUCUUAUCUUAUGACUUUGAGCAGGCUUUUAGACAGCAAUCAACUAAGUGGCAGCAUCCCAUCCUCCCUAGAACGGGUUCAAUCUUUGGAACUGAUGUGAGUACUCCUAAUAACAUAACUGUGUCAGGUUGUGUGCUUUCUGCACCACAGCUACCAGUGAAUUUGAAAUUUUUUUUUUUCUUUUUGUUUUCUGGCAACAGACGCUUGGAUAGGAACUCGUUAAAUGGACCCGUUCUGCUGAACUUCACAGGCCUAACAAAUCUGUCCCAGCU
RNAcentral lists this unclassified non-coding RNA (698 nucleotides) under Hevea brasiliensis (rubber tree). The record is from RNAcentral. Lineage: Eukaryota; Viridiplantae; Streptophyta; Magnoliopsida; Malpighiales; Euphorbiaceae.